UCUCUAGAUUGGGAUGGGUCUCAUGUUUAAUAGGAAAAGACAGGGAAGAAAUCACAUAGGAAAAGAGCAAUUUGUUUGAUUACUUAAGAAAGCAAAACCCGAAAUUUAAAGGCAAACUCACAUGAGAUAUACAAAUGCCCAACAAAUGUACACAGAGAACAAUGAUCAAGGCCAUUAAGAAGCAGAGAAUUCAAAGCUCAAAUAGGAUUCUACUUUCAGCUAUUAUUGGGAGGGUGGGUUUUUUUGUUUGUUUUUAUGGUCUGUAUUAUCUGUAUCCUUGUUUGCUUUAUUUUCAGUUUUACUAUCCUAAGGGAGCAGGAGAGGACUAAAAUGGAGAUGCUUUCGGCAACUUGGCACUUUCUAAACUUAACACAUUAAUUUUACAAUCAGAAAAAAAAACCUUUUAUUAAAGUAA
RNAcentral lists this long non-coding RNA (415 nucleotides) under Bos taurus (domestic cattle). Its description in RNAcentral is "long non-coding RNA NONBTAT026347". The record is from RNAcentral. Lineage: Eukaryota; Metazoa; Chordata; Mammalia; Artiodactyla; Bovidae.